RNAcentral lists this transfer RNA (67 nucleotides) under Roseospira marina. RNAcentral describes it as "tRNA-Phe". Lineage: Bacteria; Pseudomonadati; Pseudomonadota; Alphaproteobacteria; Rhodospirillales; Rhodospirillaceae. The record is from RNAcentral.
AAAUCACAGGCAAAGAAUCCGACUGAAAAUCCCCGUGUCGGCAGUUCGAAUCUGUCCCUGGGCACCA